Capsicum annuum is the source of this 2830-nucleotide long non-coding RNA. RefSeq lists it as uncharacterized. The record is from RefSeq and is a predicted model, not a curated record. Lineage: Eukaryota; Viridiplantae; Streptophyta; Magnoliopsida; Solanales; Solanaceae. The transcript has 3 exons.
UAUUGACUUUUCUACCCUCGUUAUGUCUGAGAUUUUGUAGAUAUAUCUGAACUAUGAGAUGGUUCAACAAUGCAUGUUUUAAUUUCUAUGUUUUGUGACAAUUGAAAUGAUCGUGGUCUACAAUCGUGCAGUUUAUAAUAGUCCUUUCUUGUCAAUUCUUGAUUGACAUAAGAACCAUUUCAACUACUAAAUAUAAGGGAGAGUAGAUACUAGUAGAGCAUCACCUAUUCAUAGAUCUGCACCUGCCUUUAUACAGUUGGUUACAAAAUUCUCUAUUUUAGAAAGAGGAACUAAGGUAGUAGAUCUUUUAGCUCCUAAAAGCUGUGGAGGAAAAAUCGGACUACUCAGGGGAGCUGAAGCGGGUAAAACAGUACUGCUAAAGCUCACGGGGUGAAUGUUGGGCGUAGUGGUCCAGUCCCCUUGUAUAUAUAUAUUCAUUCUUUUGAUAUCAUAGUGUCCGGUCCAGUUUGCAUGCACCUCGAUUACUGUUAUUGGGUAUCUACUACUUCCCACCAGUGCAAACAUCAGUUAACUAUCCGUCAAGACUUAGACAAAUGUGAAGAAAUCUCCAAUUAUUUUUUGGAAAUUGAACAUGAGACCUCUUGCUUCUCAACCCACUUUAUCAACCACUAGGCCACGCCCUUUGUUGUGCUUUGAACUAAUAAAUAUUAUGUGAAAAGUAUACUUAUCCUUUUUUCAGCAGACAGCCCCCUACUGAAAUCAUUGGAUCACCAAGAUGGAGAUGGAUAUACAUCUACUUAUUCAACUUAGUUAUGACUUUACGAUCAGCACUGUGAUUUCUUUCUACCAAUUACCAUGCAUACAUGAAUGUACUUUAUCUUCCCACCUGAAUUUUAUCUCAAGUGGAAGGAGUGAAAGUUAUUAACGUACUGUACUUGAAGAUCGCUCUAAAUUUACUUGCCUCGAUGGAUGAAGUUAAUGGCUCAAUGAGGGCAGUAAAUCGAGUAGGUCAAGCUUUGCAUUUUAUGCUGUUUGUUCUACUUGCCUCAUAAUUUUGGGAUCUUGAGUAGAGAUCAAGCCAAGAUUGGUUCUCUGUUUCUCGGUCCCCGAUAAUUGUUAGUUAUUACUCCCUCCUUUUCAAUGUGUUUGUCUUACUUUCCUCUAUCUCUUUCCUUUUUUGGCAACUCUUUAAUUCUAACUUUCCACAUGGCAUGUUUAACACCACAAGAUUAAGGCAUUUUGGUACAUUUUGCAUAUCUUUAAUUUUUAUCCAUCAGAUUCAAAACUCUUCUUUACUUUAUUAAACACUGUGUCAAGUCAAAACCAGUCAAACAAAUUAAAACGGAGGGAGUAAUUUGUUUCUGGUUAUAAACCUUAGGUAUAAGUACCAAAUAAUCAUAUGCAUUCCAUCUUCUUAUUCCUCCUCCUUAGCCACAACUUACUGGUGUAGGAGUUUCACCGCUCUCUACUAAGUCCUAGCCUCUCCUCUUUGCUCAACUGCGUGUCAGCAUCUAAUCUUAGCAUGCCUUCAUGUUUGUCUCCAACACAUACUUUUCGGCCUAGCAAGAUAACUUCGGAAGUGCUUGCUUAUGACAGAUCAAUUAUGAGUACUGUUGUUGAAUAUGAUUGUUCCAUUAUCUGUUGUUUGUGUAUUUUGCAGGUUCGAUCAGCUGCACUAGAUACAUGGCUCCCGGAACAAGUUGCAUUUAGUUAAUGUUAGGUUUUUCUCCUCAAAUUGUUACACUUUUUAUGUUGAUGUGAUAAAUAAGUUGACUCAACUGUUGAUCCAAUAAAUAGCCUAAUUGUGUGUUAUCCCUUUUUUGUUGCCGGUAUGGCAAUGGGAAAUGAGAAGACAAAUAGUUAUUGGGAAGCCGAGCUUCCUCCAAAUUCUGAUAGAGUUGGUAUUAAGAAUUUCAUCCAUGCAAAGUAUGCCCCGUACUAGUUCCUGGCUUAAGCAAUCCUUUCGAUCUAGUAUGUUGCAACUUCAUCGGCAGUAUCUGUAUUUCGUUUAGGUAUGAGGAUAAGAGGUGUAUCCCUAAGGAUGAGAAGGAGAUUCAAGAAUGGAGGGCCGCGGGGCGACAACGACAUUGUGACUGAAGUAGGCAUGGGCAUGCUCGUAACUCCAGUGGUUCAUCCGAUGAGAGGGUGAGUAUACAAUGCCCUAGCACAAAGAAAGCAAUGUCUGCUGCUAGAUUCAAUAUACCUCUGCCACCAAGAGGGCUGGAAUAAGUAUCUCCAGGUGCGGGUGCACUUCCUCACCAGACAAGUUAGACGACACAACCGAUUGCAGUUGCUGAAUCUGUAAAGCAGCUGUUGAAGAAGAACCAGCAGCAAAAAAUGGUGUUGCGCAAGCUGAUCAUCGAAAAUGCCAAUCCGCCUCUGCAAUUGACGAUUUAUUCAAGGAUUCAUCAACACUGUCGUCAUCUGUUUCAACUUCCUCCUUGUCCGAUAAGCCUCCGAAAGAUGUCAAAAAUGAUAUCAUGAACCUUUUCGACAAGGUAUUAUAUGUAAUUUUUGACAUAGUACCUUAAGAUGUCAUCAAGAGAAUCACUGCUAUGAGGAAUUUUAUGUUCCCCAGAGAAUGCCAUCUAAUGACAAAUGGAUCCAUUAAUGAGUCUUUUGAGGUAUUAUUUUUCCUACGUGUGGAUUCAGAGGUCUACCAGAAAUUACGCCUUUACAGUCCGUGAACGCAGAAGUUUAUGAGUCCUAGUAUACCUUAUCUUUUCCUAUGUGCGACAAUGUGGUAUCAACAAUCACGUUUGCUGACAGACUGAUGUUUUAAGGUUCCUUCCAUAAAUUAUUGUCAUUGUUAUAUCUAAACCAUGACUUCUGCUAUUGUCCCAUAUAUUGUUGAAGAUUUAUAUGAAAA